This 5311-nucleotide long non-coding RNA is filed under the name Sus scrofa (pig). RNAcentral describes it as "lncRNA (ENSSSCG00000062129.1)". Lineage: Eukaryota; Metazoa; Chordata; Mammalia; Artiodactyla; Suidae. The record is from RNAcentral.
UCCUCCUUCAAUAAAUUGCAACUCCAGGAGCCAGCUACAUGGGUGAAAACCCUUGGAGUUAUCCUCAAUUGUUCUCUUUCUCUUAUAUCCCAUCUCCAAUCCAUAUUAGUUCUCCAUUGCUGUGCAAAAAGUUAUACUUUAAUUUUUGCCAGUCGGGAAACUGGGCGCAGCUUAGCUGAGUCUCCAGGAUCAGUUUCUUACAAGGCUGUAGUCGAGGUGCUGGCCGGGGCUGCAGGCAUCUCAAGGCCUGACUGUGGAGGACCCUUCCAAGCUCACUCACAUGGCCCUUGGCAGGCCUCAGAUCCUUGCUGGCUGUUAGCUGGAGACAGCAGUUGCUUGCCACAUGGGCCUUUCUGAGGGAAGAUCGCAGUAUGGCAUCUGGCUUUCCCAGAGAGUAAGAGAGGGCAGGAGACAGAAGUCACGUUUUGUAACCUAGUCUUAAAAUUGACAUACCGUCACUUUUACUGUAUUUUUUUUUCUUUUCUUUUCUUUUUUUCUUUUUUUUGUACAAGAAGUGAGUCACUAGGUCCAGCCCAUACCCAAGGGAAAGAGAGGAUCAUGUGGGACCAUCACAGAGACUGCCAACCACACAAUCCAACAGCAAAUUCUGCCAUUUCUACUGUCAAAUAUGUGCAGAAUCCAAUACCUCUCAUCACCUCCAUCUAGCACCCUGAUCCACCUGGCUUAUUGCAAUAGCCUCUUAAAUUAUAUCCUUCCUCCCCAACCCCAGCUAUGCACAGACUGUUUGACCCAGAGUAGUGAGAGUGAGCCCAGGAAAAUAUGAACAAGAUCAUAUUAAUCCUUGGCAAAAAAAUCUCCAGUGUUCUUAUAAAGACCUACAGGCUCUGUCCCUGCCCUGACCUUGUCUCUUACUAUUCCCUGCUUCUCUUAUUCUGCUCCAACCACACCGACCUCGUCAUGUUCCUUGACCACACUAAGCAUGUACCACCUUAGACUCUUUGCAUGUGAGUCUUCUCUUAGAUACUACAAGAGUCACCUUUUAGGGAGGCCUUCCCCCAACGUGACAUGCACACUGCCUAACUCCUUUACUCCUCAUAGCCUUUAACCAGCUUUUAUUCUACUUCAUAGCACUUACCAUUGGCCUCAUUUUACUUGUUUAUUUUCUGUUUUUCCUGUAGAAUUUAUUGGUGCAUAAUAGGAACUCAACAAAUAUUUAUUAAAUACAUACCUAUAUACAUAUAAAACCAUGAUCAGGUUAUAGAAGUUCCUGCUCUUUCUAUGGCUGGUACUGAACACUUUUGUAUAUAGUGGCACCAUUUACAUAGUUGACCUCUUCUGAGUUGUGUUGAAUUCAUCAUUUAACUCUGUGACAAGUGGAAGGGGUGAGUAGGAAUUCGGAAAAGGACAGAUCAGCUGAUACAUCCCUAGCCUUCCACCAUCCCUUCCAACUCACUGCUUCUUCACCUUCUUUAAAAACCUUUCCUCCCCUGAGCCUCAUGGUACCUGUUCAUACUUCUGCCUUCUUGCUGUCAUUUUUAGAUCCUGAGUUCACCCAAGACCUUAGCCCAGCACCCUCAUGGCUCUUGCUCUACCUCUGAAAUCUUCAACCCUGGGGUACUAGUGUUUGACCCCAGCCUUCUGCUCUUUCAGUUGAUUCCCCUUCUAUUUGCCCUUGAAAUACACUGAGCCCUCCACCCCAUGCUCCUCCAUCUUCAGCCAAACCCUUACCCCUUUUGGCUUUAUGACUUCCAUCCAGCCUAAACAUUUGCCUCAUUACCUCAUUCUCUAUGAAGAAGAAGAUGGGGUAUAGUGAUGGAAAGCACAGGUUCAAAGCCUGGCUUCACCACUUGCUAAAUCUUGUGAUCUUAGGCAAAUUAAUUAAUAUAUCUGAAACUUACUUUCCUUGAAUGAGAGUAAUAGCCUCCUUAUAGGAGAGUCAUAAGAUUUGUAAGACUCUUAAAGAAGCACUUCCCUCGUGGACAGAACAGUAAAUGGAAACAAUGACUAUUGAUGUUAAUUUUUUAAUUUUUUUGUCUUUUCUAGGGCCUUACCCGUGGUGUAUAGUGAUUCCCAGGCUAAGGGUCUAAUCUGAGCUGUCGCCUCUGGCCUAUGCCAGAGUCACAGCAACUCAGGAUUCCAGCCGCGUCUGCAACCUACACCACAGCUCACGGCAACGCCGGAUCCUUAACCCACUGAGCCAGGCCAGGGAUCGAACCUGCAACCUCAUGAUUCCUGGUCGGAUUCUUCAACCACUGAGCCACAACAGGAACUCCUUGAUGAUAAUUUUUAAAUGAGCUAAUAUUUAGAAAUGUUUGGAAGAAUUCCUCAAGCAUAGUAAUUACUAUUUAGUGUUUGUUAAAUCAGUUAAACGUUCUCUUUCUGUUUCAUAUCAUUAAUUUCCUUACCAUUCCCUCAUGCUCGAAAACUCCCUAUUUCUAUUGCUCCAACAUGAGUUCUAUUCAGUCAAAUCACAGAGCUGGCAAACAGGGCAGAGAAAAGUCCUGGGCUCCAGCUCCUUGGUUCUUUAAUUGUCCCCCAACAACGCCCUCCUUCCUUUGCUCAAUAGCUACCUCAGCUCUUCUCCCUCCUAUGGCUGCCUCAUCCCACCACGUCUUCUCUCACAUGGGGCAGAUGGUCUUCCCUCCUAUUGGGCAGGAAGACAUAGGGUCUGGUGCUAACAACAUCAACUGUUAGACACUCCAGCUAUGACUUUCUUUAUUUAUCCUCACUUCUUCUCUCCAGCCUGAGGACUAUGGCUUCUCUGGGCUCCUUGGAAAUGUCACCCUCUCAGCAUCUCCAAUCUUUCCCUCUCCUCUGCCUUGUCACUCACCCUAUAGAUGUGGAGUCAGCAUCUAUGGUGGUUAAGCCCUGUACCUACAAUAUUUGGGUAGGGAUUCUAGUGCUGCUGCUCCCUAACUCUGUGACCCAGGACAAGUUACUUAACCUCAUCCUUCUUCAGUUUCCUCUUCUGGAAAGCAGAGGUACUAUCACAUUAGGUGUUUGAAAGGAUCCUAGGAAUUAAUGCAUGUGAAACACUUAGAAGCAGUGUCUGGCAUGUAGCAACUUCUCAAUAAUUAUAUGCUAUUCUAAGUUAUUCCAAUCUAAAAAAGCACAUGAAACUUUCAUAUGUAUGUCUCCUCCAGUAACUGCCUUAUCUCUCUUCCUUUCACGUUGAAGUUUCUUGAAAAAAAAUAUACUCUGAUAUUUUCCUUCCUUGUUCUGGUGUUUGUUUUUCCCUCUCUGUUAAGUGCAUUGUUCAAUUCUCCCAUUAAAAUGCUUUUGCUGAGGCCUUGAAAAAACCAGUGUGUGUGUGUGUGUGUGUGUGUGUGUGUGUGUGUGUGUGUGUGUGCACGCAUGUGCUUAUAUUGGCCAUUCUGGGACAUCUGAUACCUCUCCCUUCUUCAAAUCUCUCCCCUGGCCUUCCAAGACACCAUUUCCCUUUCAUUCUCUUAUUUCUCUGACCCAAUCUUCUUUUUGUUCCAUCCUUAUCGAUAGUUGUUGUCUCUGGAGCUCUAUCAUCAGCCCUACCUCCUACACAUUCUACUGUGAUCCUUCUACCCUGGUCUUGAGUGUUCUCUUACAUGGAAGGAAUCAUACUGAACCCUGAAUUACAAACUCCUCAAUCCCAAGGCCUUCUUAUAACUUUACCUAGCUAUGCUAUGGGCUCCUUACAUUUAUCAUAUCCAGAGUUGAACUCUUCAUCUCCCCCACCAAACUCACUCUCCUUUCCUUAUUCCAUAUCUGAGUAAAUGGCACCAUCAUCCACCUGCUGCCAAAGUCAGAAAAUGACGUUUCACCCUCAACAACACCUUCUUACACCACCUUGACAUCUAGGUGGUCUUAUAGUUUCAGAGAUUCUGCGUCCUUGUCACUUCUAAAAUCUGUCCCCUGCACUCCAUUCCUACUGCCUCUUAGCUAAUCUCUCUGUGUUCAGUGUUUCUUGCCAGGAUUAUUGCAGUUCCCUCCUGUUGAAGUCAAUCUUCCCACUUAACUCUCUGGCUGUGCCAAUGUGCAUGUCACAAUUCUGCAGAGAUGUCUUUGUAACACACAAAUCUCCUUGUAUUAUUUCUUUGCUUACAAUGUCCAGUAACUCCUAUGAAUAAAACUCAGAUGUAGUCUGACAUAAGGCUGCUGUGAAUGCACCUGCCCCUCUUACCUUCCAGUUUUCCCCUUUGUGAAUCCUGAGAAGUUCUCUGAACACGUCAUUGUCUCUUUCCCUUACCUUCCUGGCUUUGUCUGGAAUGUCUUUCCCUGGUUCUCUAUUUGACUGAAUUAUUCUCACCCCUUAAGACUCAUCCAGGUUGUAUCUUCUUCCAGAAGGCUUCCCCAACCACCUUCAGCCUAUAUUAAAUAUCACUUUAAUUCAGUUAGGAAUUAGUUGUAGCUAACAAACUUUUAAAAAGGCAGACAUGGGGGAGGAACAGGUGCUCGUAAAAUUAUUGGAAGGAUUGGAGGAACAGGUCCUCAGCUGAGUUUCCAGGAGUGACUCCAAAAUUAUCAGUGCAGAACUGGCCCCCCAUGGGAUCCCUGCCUCUGCCAAGACCAUGUCAACUGGAAGCUGGUACCCAGGAAGCCGAAAGGUGCCACUUAAAAAUUAAAAAAAAAAAAGCCUCCACACCCAAGUUUGCCAGUAUAACUGAUGGCAGCAGUAACAGGUAAUCUCUACAUCGGGGUAUCUACACUGGUGUCCCAAGUCUCUUAGUCCCAGAUGGAUAGAGGCUAAGUCCAUGUGGGGGAAAUAGAGCUUCAAGGAAACUGAGAAAUAUGGUCCUUAGCUUUCCAAUCCCUAGCGCUCAGUAAGGCAUGUUGGAGAGUGUGGGAGCAGCCAGCAUUUGUAUCUGCCUCUCACUCCUCUAUGUUCUUAUGCUGUCAUGUACACAUUGUGUAGCAGUACUUGCCAUUCAUGUUCUCCUUACCUGCCUAAUUACCUGUCUGUCUCACCUGCAUAGGCUGCCAUCUUCCUGAAGGCAAACACUAUUCUUGUUCAUCUCCAAGUUGAGCCCAGCACAUAGCAGGUUCUCAAUAAAUGUUUGUUAACUGAAAGAAUGAACAAGAAGUUUUAGCAUUAUCUUAGAAUUCUCCUUUAACCCACCAGCCAAUAGCUCUUAUUAAUUUUGUCUUCAAAAUGUCCUUCCAGGAGUUCCCUUUGUGGCUCAGCAGUUAAGGGACCUCACUAGGAUCCAUGAGGUUGUGGGUUCAAUUCCUGACCUUUUUAAGUGGGUUAAGGUUCCGGUGUUACGUGGGCCGUACUGUAGGUCACAAUACAGCUUGGAUCUGAUGUGGCUGUGGCUGUGGUGUAGGCCAGCAGCUGUAGCUCUGAUUCAACCCCUAGCCUGGGAACUUCCAUAUG